CUGCCCAGUGAUAUAUUUUUAACGGCCGCGGUAUUCUAACCGUGCAAAGGUAGCGUAAUCACUUGUCUUCUAAAUAAAGACCAGUAUGAACGGCUAAAUGAGGACAAACCUGUCUCCUACGACAAAUCAGUGAAACUGAUCUUCCAGUACAAAAGCUGGAAUAAACACAUAAGACGAGAAGACCCUGUGGAGCUUACAAACACAAGAUCAACAAGGCAAACCACAAAACCAACAAUUGACCAUACGUUUUAAGUUGGGGCGACUUCGGAAAAAAACAGAACUUCCGAGAACGGGGCCACCAACCCCUGCUAAGGAAUACAACCCAAAGCAUCAACAUAUAAAAGACCCAGUCAAACUGAUUAACGAACCAAGUUACCCCAGGGAUAACAGCGCUAUCUUCUUCAAGAGUCCAUAUCGACAAGAAGGUUUACGACCUCGAUGUUGGAUCAGGACACCCAAAUGGUGCAGCAGCUAUUAAAGGUUCGUUUGUUCAACGAUUAACAGUCCUACGUG
This 513-nucleotide ribosomal RNA is filed under the name Acontias lineatus lineatus. Its description in RNAcentral is "partial 16S ribosomal RNA". It matches the Rfam family "Bacterial large subunit ribosomal RNA", at positions 1859 to 2602 of the family's 2925-position model. Lineage: Eukaryota; Metazoa; Chordata; Lepidosauria; Squamata; Scincidae. The record is from RNAcentral.